CAGUCGCCGCGGUAAUACAGAGGGUGCGAGCGUUAAUCGGAUUUACUGGGCGUAAAGCGUGCGUAGGCGGCUAAUUGAGUCGGAUGUGAAAUCCCCGAGCUUAACUUGGGAAUUGCAUUCGAUACUGGUUAGCUAGAGUAUGGGAGAGGAUGGUAGAAUUCCAGGUGUAGCGGUGAAAUGCGUAGAGAUCUGGAGGAAUACCGAUGGCGAAGGCAGCCAUCUGGCCUAAUACUGACGCUGAGGUACGAAAGCAUGGGGAGCAAACAGGAUUAGAUACCCCGGUAGUCCCUGUCUCUUAUAC
RNAcentral lists this ribosomal RNA (301 nucleotides) under uncultured bacterium. RNAcentral's name for it is "partial 16S ribosomal RNA". It matches the Rfam family "Bacterial small subunit ribosomal RNA", at positions 509 to 807 of the family's 1533-position model. The record is from RNAcentral.